CAAGAAAUACUACAUUCUGUAUGAUGGGACAUGCUAUAUAACUUGUAUAGCUAUAUCAUGAUUAUGAUGUGACGACAUGAUUUGUGUUGGAUGGUAUGACGAGACUAUUAUGUGUAUGAUAUUCAUAUCAUAAACUGGCAAUAUGAUCAUCAUAGAAUACUAUAUAAAAUAUGUACAAAAAAUCGCAAAUACGUAGCAAAAAAAUGAUAUGUGAAAAUAUAGUAGUAGCGCUCUUUAG
This 238-nucleotide long non-coding RNA is filed under the name Hordeum vulgare. RNAcentral describes it as "long non-coding RNA (HVUL_LNC015494)". Lineage: Eukaryota; Viridiplantae; Streptophyta; Magnoliopsida; Poales; Poaceae. The record is from RNAcentral.